GCGUGCAGCUCCAUCCACUUGUAGCAGCAUUCCUCCAGUGCUAUCAUGAGAUUCAGUGGUGAUGUUCUGUAAAUGCCAGCCAAAAUCUAUCUGCAAGAACAUCUGCUCAACAGUGCAAAACUGAUGUAAUUACCAACCAUCAUCUUUUAUCCUCCUGCUGGGGCAACUGCUCCAAAGCAUGACUUUUUGCCCUGAGCUAACAAGAUCCAGAGGCUUGCUGCUAUGUACAAAUCCCACCGCUGGAAACAAACAUGGCUGAUACACAAAUUCUCACAGGAUCUUUCAGCUGCAAGGAGUAACAUGUACCCAAACAAGGGCAUGGUCCUGGCUCUGAGGGACAUCCAGCAGCCUUGAUGGAAAGGCCCCACAAGAGAAGGGAGCACUGGAACUCAGGUGGGAAAGCCAUCAGUGUCUUCCUCCGCUGUGCACAUGCUGGUGGCAAAGUCACCUCCCUGAGUCUUGUUACCAUGGGUUGAACCAAGGGGCCUCUCACAGCUGUGGGUCAACCAGUGUGAAUUAAAUUUCCAUACUGUGAAUUGCUGAGAAGUGGUGGUGUACCCCAUCUGCACCCACAGACAUUAAGGUGAACUGGGUAACAUUAAUAACCUUGUUGCAAAUUGCUCUCUUUCAGCAUCACUGUGGUCAGUAGAGGAGCCCCAAACUCAGGAUACCUACAACACACAUCUGCAGCACGGACAGAGAAGUGGAAGUAUUUGAAAAGAGACCAGGAAGAUGGGGUGAGAUGAGAUCUGGAAGGAGAGAAAGAGGAGAGAGCAGCCCUAAGCCAGCUCCCCAGCUUCCUGAGCACAGAGUUUUGCCGCCACCUGAAGAAGAGAGGACUGUGUGGUUUCUGGGGCUCCGCACACUGGAUAAGCACCCCCAGGUAUUUCAAGGUAUCUUUUCUGUGUUUGGAGCCCAUUCACUUGCUCUGUUCCAUCUGAAAGAUGCUGUCUGACCCUUU
Molecule: long non-coding RNA, 961 nt
Filed under: Coturnix japonica (Japanese quail)
Lineage: Eukaryota; Metazoa; Chordata; Aves; Galliformes; Phasianidae
Description: lncRNA (ENSCJPG00005017739.1)
Source: RNAcentral